GACGAACGCUGGCGGCGUGCUUAACACAUGCAAGUCGAACGGUAAGGCCCUUCGGGGUACACGAGUGGCGAACGGGUGAGUAACACGUGGGUGAUCUGCCCUGCACUUCGGGAUAAGCCUGGGAAACUGGGUCUAAUACCGGAUAGGACCAUGGACUUCACGGUUUGUGGUGGAAAGCUUUUGCGGUGUGGGAUGGGCCCGCGGCCUAUCAGCUUGUUGGUGGGGUAAUGGCCUACCAAGGCGACGACGGGUAGCCGGCCUGAGAGGGUGUCCGGCCACACUGGGACUGAGAUACGGCCCAGACUCCUACGGGAGGCGAGCAGUGGGGAAUAUUGCACAAUGGGCGCAAGUCUGAUGCAGCGACGCCGC
RNAcentral lists this ribosomal RNA (369 nucleotides) under uncultured bacterium. RNAcentral's name for it is "bacterial SSU rRNA". It matches the Rfam family "Bacterial small subunit ribosomal RNA", at positions 28 to 400 of the family's 1533-position model. The record is from RNAcentral.